RNAcentral lists this ribosomal RNA (500 nucleotides) under uncultured bacterium. RNAcentral's name for it is "bacterial SSU rRNA". It matches the Rfam family "Bacterial small subunit ribosomal RNA", at positions 364 to 880 of the family's 1533-position model. The record is from RNAcentral.
UUCCAAUGGGCGAAGCCUGAUGCAGCGACGCCGCGUGGGUGAUGAAGGUUUUCGGAUCGUAAAACCCUUUUCUGUGUGACGAGGAAGGACGGUAGCACAGGAAUAAGUGUCGGCUAACUACGUGCCAGCAGCCGCGGUAAUACGUAGGACGCAAGCGUUAUCCGGAAUUACUGGGCGUAAAGAGCGUGUAGGCGGUUGUCCAAGUCACCCGUGAAAGCUCCCGGCUAAACUGGGAGAGGUCGGGUGAGACUGGAUGGCUAGAGGGUUGUAGAGGGGUGUGGAAUUCCGGGUGUAGUGGUGAAAUGCGUAGAGAUCCGGAGGAACACCAGAGGCGAAGGCGGCACCCUGGACAACACCUGACGCUGAGACGCGAAAGCGCGGGGAGCAAACGGGAUUAGAGACCCCGGUAGUCCGCGCCGUAAACGAUGUGCGCUAGACGUUCGUCUUCCUACGGGGGGAUGAGCGUCGAAGCCAACGCGAUAAGCGCACCGCCUGAGGAG